Molecule: transfer RNA, 78 nt
Filed under: Alphaproteobacteria bacterium
Lineage: Bacteria; Pseudomonadati; Pseudomonadota; Alphaproteobacteria
Description: tRNA-Arg
Rfam family: tRNA
About the family: Transfer RNA (tRNA) molecules are approximately 80 nucleotides in length.
Source: RNAcentral
GGACCCGUAAUGCGGUUGGAUAGAGCGCUGGCCCUCCGAAGGCAGAGGUCGCGAGUUCGAAUCUCGCCGGGUCCGCCA